AGACACGCAUAAGCCUACAGAUUUUAUACAGACAUUUAGUGUAAUACAGAUAUUAUACAGAUAUCUGAUAUUAUAAAUACAUAAUCGUUUUUCCAGUAUACACAAAAAAAAACGAACAGAAAAAACGAGAGUCACUGUAGCCGUUGCUGGAAAAAGUGAACUACGAGAGUGAAAUCUUGACAAAAUGUUCAACCUUAUCUAUACCCAAGGAGAUGGCAGCCCUAUCUAAACUCUACACGUUUGACAGUAGCCACCAUAUCGGGGCUUUAUUUAAAAAUAAAGCCCCGAGGUAGGCGCCCAGCAAAACUUCCAUAUACUUUUCACUUUAGUCGGGAAGACUCUUCACUCAUUCAACAUAGAAAGAGAUAGCAUGUUGCCAUUCCCCUGUCUAUACCAUUAGAGUGUGAGUGAAAUAGCAUGCGAAUGAAUCAAAAUAUGGCGAACAUGGAACAAACAGCAUUAGAGUGAAGAGUUUUUCCAAUUUAUGAACGCGCGUUGAUGCAAAUGCAUUUGCACACAAUGUCAUUAAAAAUUAAAAAACUCGAUACUAAACAAUCGAUUUCUGAAUAUUUUAGAAGAAGGCCUUCAAACGAUUGUAACAAAGACAACCGACAGCUUUCUGCCGAUGGAAUAGAUGAAAAUAACCAUUCUUCUAAUAAGCUUCCGGAGAACGAAAAACGAGGAUAUGCCAACUCUUCAUCAGAUAACGAAUCCAACAUGGAAUAUGAUACUGACACUGAAGUCAGCAAAAAGAAAAGAAAAGAGUCUUCACUGCGAGCUAGAAAGCAAUACCAAAGAGCUGUCCAGAGGUACACCUCGUGUUGGGAGACAAAGCUAAAGUGGCUUUCGAAGAGCGUCAAAGGAGACCAGUUUGCUUAUUGUACCAUCUGUGGAAAAAAUAUUAGCUGUAGCGGAGGGUUUCCCGAUUUAAAAAAAACAUAGUGAAAGGAAAAGCCACGUAAACCUGAAAAAAACGUUAAACAUUCCUUCAUCAAUGAACAAAUUUGUUAACACGUCUAGUACUAGAGAUGCAGAAAUACAAAUCUGUUCUUGGGCAGCUGAAACCAACACAGCUCCAAAAACGAUUGAAGAAUUUGUCAAACUCUCAAAGAAGAUUUUCAGUGAUUCUAAAACAGCGACCCAACUAACUCUUGGACGAACAAAAGUUUCGGCUAUUAUAAGAAAUGUAUUAGGUGAAACAGCUCACGAUGAAAUUAAAAAUCUGAUCAGAAACAGCUAUUUCAGCCUUAUAAUCGAUGAAUCAACAGAUAUAGCGACUCGCAAGACAUUAGUUAUUAUAGCAAGAACAUAUGUAUGGAAUUGUGAUGCCCCGCUAGUACGAGGUUAUUUUUAUCAUUCAUGCAAACUCGCAGAAGCGCUGCCACUAUAUUCAACGUAAUCGUACAAAAACUAGAGCAGGAUGAAAUACCUUUCAAAAAAAAUUUGGUUGGGUUUGGAGCAGACGGAGCCAAUGUGAUGCUAGGUGGCAACAAUUCAGUUGCAAGUCGCCUUAAAACUGAAUGUCCGAAUAUUUUCAUUCUAAAAUGCAUCUGCCAUUCAAUUGCAUUAUGCGCUUCAUAUUCCUGCAAGAAUAUACCAAUCGAGAUAGAGUCAUUAUGCAGAGCAAUUUACACAUUUCUCAGUACCAGUCCACUUAGAACCGCUAAAUUUGAAGAGCUCCAAACGAUCAUGGACCUGAAACCUGUGAAAAUGCUUCAUCCAGCGGCCACACGAUGGUUGUCUCUAGAAGAAGUAGUAAAGCGAAUACUUGAGCGAUAUGAGGCACUAAAAAUAUAUUUCAGCUUUCAGGACGCUGAUGUGGAAACCAAGAUAGUGGUAAAAACGAAGCAAAUCUCUGAAAUACUUUCCGAUCCAAUUACUGAACUGUAUUUGAGUUUUCUGAAUUUCAUACUUCCUAAAAUCAAUCAGCUUAACAGACUAUUCCAAUCGAAACACCACAAAUCUACAAAUUACAAUUAGAAACAAGUAGACUUGUCAAAACUUUACUUGAUAAUUUUGUAAAGGCAGAUUAUUUGAAAACUCUGCUUUCUUUAGAUUCUAUUGAAUUUGACACAAGCAUUGUAAAAUAGGAUGUAUACGUUAUGAAAAGACGAGCCCAGCCGACCAUGCCAACACGCCGCAUCGAUCGACCACAGCAACCGAUGCGCCAGGGAAUUGA
Long non-coding RNA from Wyeomyia smithii (pitcher-plant mosquito), 2179 nucleotides. RefSeq lists it as uncharacterized. NCBI's taxonomy places the organism in Eukaryota, Metazoa, Arthropoda, Insecta, Diptera, Culicidae. The transcript is spliced from 3 exons. The record is from RefSeq and is a predicted model, not a curated record.